RNAcentral lists this ribosomal RNA (253 nucleotides) under uncultured bacterium. Its description in RNAcentral is "partial 16S ribosomal RNA". It matches the Rfam family "Bacterial small subunit ribosomal RNA", at positions 524 to 776 of the family's 1533-position model. The record is from RNAcentral.
UACGAAGGGGGCUAGCGUUGCUCGGAAUCACUGGGCGUAAAGCGCACGUAGGCGGCUUUCUAAGUCGGGGGUGAAAUCCUGGAGCUCAACUCCAGAACUGCCUUUGAUACUGAGGAGCUUGAGUCCGGGAGAGGUGAGUGGAACUGCGAGUGUAGAGGUGAAAUUCGUAGAUAUUCGCAAGAACACCAGUGGCGAAGGCGGCUCACUGGCCCGGUACUGACGCUGAGGUGCGAAAGCGUGGGGAGCAAACAGG